This 460-nucleotide ribosomal RNA is filed under the name uncultured bacterium. RNAcentral's name for it is "partial 16S ribosomal RNA". It matches the Rfam family "Bacterial small subunit ribosomal RNA", at positions 338 to 795 of the family's 1533-position model. The record is from RNAcentral.
CCUACGGGAGGCUGCAGUGAGGAAUAUUGGUCAAUGGGCGCUAGCCUGAACCAGCCAAGUAGCGUGAAGGAUGACUGCCCUAUGGGUUGUAAACUUCUUUUAUAUGGGAAUAAAGUGCAGUAUGUAUACUGCUUUGCAUGUACCUUAUGAAUAAGGAUCGGCUAACUCCGUGCCAGCAGCCGCGGUAAUACGGAGGAUCCGAGCGUUAUCCGGAUUUAUUGGGUUUAAAGGGAGCGUAGGCGGGUUGUUAAGUCAGUUGUGAAAGGUGGCGGCUCAACCGUAGAAUUGCAGUUGAUACUGGCAAACUGGAGUACAGGAGAGGUAGGCGGAAUUCGUGGUGUAGCGGUGAAAUGCUUAGAUAUCACGAAGAACUCCGAUUGCGAAGGCAGCUUGCUGGACUGUAACUGACGCUGAUGCUCGAAAGUGUGGGUAUCAAACAGGAUUAGAUACCCUAGUAGUC